Molecule: ribosomal RNA, 503 nt
Filed under: Clymenella sp. 1 GK-2017
Lineage: Eukaryota; Metazoa; Annelida; Polychaeta; Maldanidae
Description: partial 16S ribosomal RNA
Rfam family: Bacterial large subunit ribosomal RNA
Source: RNAcentral
AGCUUUUUGAUUUUAUAUAAAAGGUUUAACCUGCCCAGUGACUCACGAGUUUAACGGCCGCGGUACCCUGACCGUGCUAAGGUAGCAUAUAAUUUGCCCUUUAAUUGGGGGCUAGAAUGAAAGGAUAAACGAAAGAUAAGCUGUCUCUAUAACAAUAAAAUAAAUUUAUCUUUAAGUGAAAAAGCUUAAAUAAUAUUAAAAGACAAAAAGACCCCAUAGAGCUUAGCUAAAAUUACAUAAAAAAGAAAUGACCCAUUUUUAAUUUUAUUACAACUAUAGCUUAACUGGGGCGGUUUAGGAGCAAAUAACCUCCUUUUUAAAAAAAGGUUCUACACCAAAUAUGAUCCAAAAAAGAUUAAAAAAAUAAGCUACCUUGGGGAUAACAGGCUAAUAUCUUUUAAGAGUACAAAUCGAAAAAGAAGUUUGGCACCUCGAUGUUGGCUUAGAGGAACCUUCAGGUAGCAGAAGCUUAAAAGGCAGGUUUGUUCAACCUUUAAACCUCU